AGCCUAUCUCAGUUCGGAUUGGAGGCUGAAACCCGCCUCCAUGAAGUUGGAUUCGCUAGUAAUCGCGCAUCAGCCAUGGCGCGGUGAAUACGUUCCCGGGCCUUGUACACACCGCCCGUCAAGCCAUGGGAGCCGGGGGUGCCUGAAGUUCGUUACCGUAAGGAUCGACCUAGGGCAAAACUGGUGACUGGGGCUAAGUCGUAACAAGGUAUC
This 213-nucleotide ribosomal RNA is filed under the name uncultured bacterium. RNAcentral describes it as "partial 16S ribosomal RNA". It matches the Rfam family "Bacterial small subunit ribosomal RNA", at positions 1280 to 1500 of the family's 1533-position model. The record is from RNAcentral.